RNAcentral lists this transfer RNA (73 nucleotides) under Sus scrofa (pig). It matches the Rfam family "tRNA". Rfam says of the family: Transfer RNA (tRNA) molecules are approximately 80 nucleotides in length. Their secondary structure includes four short double-helical elements and three loops (D, anti-codon, and T loops). Further hydrogen bonds mediate the characteristic L-shaped molecular structure. tRNAs have two regions of fundamental functional importance: the anti-codon, which is responsible for specific mRNA codon recognition, and the 3' end, to which the tRNAs corresponding amino acid is attached (by aminoacyl-tRNA synthetases). tRNAs cope with the degeneracy of the genetic code in two manners: having more than one tRNA (with a specific anti-codon) for a particular amino acid; and 'wobble' base-pairing, i.e. permitting non-standard base-pairing at the 3rd anti-codon position. The record is from Rfam by way of RNAcentral. Lineage: Eukaryota; Metazoa; Chordata; Mammalia; Artiodactyla; Suidae.
UCCCUGGUGGCCUAAUGGUUAAGGACUCGGCAUUGCCCCUGCUGUGGCUCAGGUUCAAUCCCUGGCCUGUGAA